GUGGGGAAUAUUGGACAAUGGGCGAAAGCCUGAUCCAGCCAUGCCGCGUGUGUGAAGAAGGUCUUCGGAUUGUAAAGCACUUUAGGUUGGGAGGAAGGGCAGUAAGUUAAUACCUUGCUGUUUUGACGUUACCAACAGAAUAAGCACCGGCUAACUUCGUGCCAGCAGCCGCGGUAAUACGAAGGGUGCAAGCGUUAAUCGGAAUUACUGGGCGUAAAGCGCGCGUAGGUGGUUUUGUAAGUUGGAGGUGAAAUCCCCGGGCUCAACCUGGGAACUGCCUCCAAAACUGCAUGACUAGAGUACGGUAGAGGGUAGUGGAAUUUCCUGUGUAGCGGUGAAAUGCGUAGAUAUAGGAAGGAACACCAGUGGCGAAGGCGACUACCUGGACUGAUACUGACACUGAGGUGCGAAAGCGUGGGGAGCAAACAGGAUUAGAAACCCCUGUAGUCC
This 450-nucleotide ribosomal RNA is filed under the name uncultured bacterium. RNAcentral's name for it is "partial 16S ribosomal RNA". It matches the Rfam family "Bacterial small subunit ribosomal RNA", at positions 354 to 796 of the family's 1533-position model. The record is from RNAcentral.